RNAcentral lists this small RNA (140 nucleotides) under Methylobacterium brachythecii. RNAcentral describes it as "sRNA BjrC1505". It matches the Rfam family "Alphaproteobacterial sRNA BjrC1505". The record is from RNAcentral. Lineage: Bacteria; Pseudomonadati; Pseudomonadota; Alphaproteobacteria; Hyphomicrobiales; Methylobacteriaceae.
UAUGGCAACGAUCCGUUAACCUUUCCAAUCUAUGAUCAUCUCAUGUCCAGCCUGCUGGACGUCGAGUGGUUUCGUCCACUCUGUUUGAUGCCUCCCUGUUCGACUUCAUAACAGCCGUCCUCCGGGGCGGCUUUUUUCUU